This 284-nucleotide unclassified non-coding RNA is filed under the name Ramularia sp. RNAcentral's name for it is "partial contains 5.8S ribosomal RNA, internal transcribed spacer 2, and large subunit ribosomal RNA". The record is from RNAcentral. Lineage: Eukaryota; Fungi; Ascomycota; Dothideomycetes; Mycosphaerellales; Mycosphaerellaceae.
CGCACAUUGCACCUUUUGGUAUUCCGAGAGGUAUGCUUGUUCGAGCGUCGUUUAAAUAAUAUCAAUUUAAUUAUUGAAUGUAUUGGGAUAUCUUUUUUAUUAAUAAAAAAAAUUCCUUAAAAGAAUUGUUAGCGAUUUUAAUUCGAUUAUGAUACAACGCAUUAAUAUUUUUAUAUCGUUGAAUGUAAAUCAAUAUGAAAUCUGCCAAAAAACAUUUAAAUUUAAUUAUUUAAAUAUUUCAAAAAAUCGACCUCGGAUCAAGUAGGAUUACCCGCUGAACUUAA